Molecule: ribosomal RNA, 218 nt
Filed under: uncultured bacterium
Lineage: Bacteria
Description: partial 16S ribosomal RNA
Rfam family: Bacterial small subunit ribosomal RNA
Source: RNAcentral
ACGCUCGACACCUACUGGAGGCAGCAGUGAGGAAUAUUGGUCAAUGGGCGCAGGCCUGAACCAGCCAAGUAGCGUGAAGGAUGACUGCCCUAUGGGUUGUAAACUUCUUUUAUAUGGGAAUAAAGUUUUCCACGUGUGGAAUUUUGUAUGUACCAUAUGAAUAAGGAUCGGCUAACUCCGUGCCCGCAGCCGCGGUAAUCUGAGCGGGCUGGCAAGGC